GGCCCCUUGGUCAAGUGGUUAAGACAUCGCCCUUUCACGGCGGUAUCACGGGUUCGAAUCCCGUAGGGGUCA
This is a transfer RNA of Alloiococcus otitis ATCC 51267, 72 nucleotides long. It matches the Rfam family "tRNA". Rfam says of the family: Transfer RNA (tRNA) molecules are approximately 80 nucleotides in length. Their secondary structure includes four short double-helical elements and three loops (D, anti-codon, and T loops). The record is from Rfam. NCBI's taxonomy places the organism in Bacteria, Bacillati, Bacillota, Bacilli, Lactobacillales, Carnobacteriaceae.